UCAGUAACGGCGAGUGAAGCGGUAACAGCUCAAAUUUGAAAGCUGGCUCUUUUAGGGUCCGCGUUGUAAUUUGUAGAAGAUGCUUCGGGUGUGGCCCCGGUCUAAGUUCCUUGGAACAGGACGUCAUAGAGGGUGAGAAUCCCGUAUGUGACUGGGUGCUUUCGCUCAUGUGAAGCUCUUUCGACGAGUCGAGUUGUUUGGGAAUGCAGCUCAAAAUGGGUGGUAAAUUUCAUCUAAAGCUAAAUAUUGGCCAGAGACCGAUAGCGCACAAGUAGAGUGAUCGAAAGAUGAAAAGCACUUUGGAAAGAGAGUUAAACAGUACGUGAAAUUGUUGAAAGGGAAGCGCUUGCAACCAGACUUGCGCGCUGAUGAUCAUCCGGGCUUCUGCCCGGUGCACUCGUCUGCGCUCAGGCCAGCAUCGGUUUCGGUGGUGGGAUAAAGGCCUUGGGAAUGUGGCUCCUCUCGGGGAGUGUUAUAGCCCUCGGUGCAAUGCCGCCAACCGGGACCGAGGACCGCGCUUCGGCUAGGAUGCUGGCGUAAUGGUUGUAAGCGACCCGUCUUGAAACACGGACCAAGGAGUCUAACAUCUAUGCGAGUGUUUGGGUGUCAAACCCAUACGCGUAAUG
This 626-nucleotide ribosomal RNA is filed under the name Leptodophora orchidicola. RNAcentral describes it as "partial large subunit ribosomal RNA". It matches the Rfam family "Eukaryotic large subunit ribosomal RNA", at positions 80 to 721 of the family's 3401-position model. The record is from RNAcentral. Lineage: Eukaryota; Fungi; Ascomycota; Leotiomycetes; Helotiales.